CGGGGCGUAGCUCAGCCUGGUAGAGCGUCUGGUUUGGGACCAGAAGGUCGCACGUUCAAAUCGUGUCGCCCCGAC
Molecule: transfer RNA, 75 nt
Filed under: Stieleria neptunia
Lineage: Bacteria; Pseudomonadati; Planctomycetota; Planctomycetia; Pirellulales; Pirellulaceae
Description: Planctomycetes bacterium Enr13 tRNA-Pro
Rfam family: tRNA
About the family: Transfer RNA (tRNA) molecules are approximately 80 nucleotides in length. Their secondary structure includes four short double-helical elements and three loops (D, anti-codon, and T loops).
Source: RNAcentral